UCAGCCUAUAAGGCAGAUCCAAGAAAGGAGAGUAGAAACUUGAGAUCAUUACUAUCCUUUGAAGAGUAAUGGCAAUUCAAAAGGAAAAUGCAAUCGAAGGGCUGUUGGUAUUCAUUUUAAACACCUGUUGGUGAAGAAGGAAGUUUGAAGGCUAAUGAGGAAGGCUUAGGAAGGGGCCUAUCUAGGGAGGUGUUUCUUUCAAUUGGUGGUGACAGCUCAUGGCAUUUCAUAUGGCAAAUUGCUAAUCUUUUAUCAAGGUGGGUGAUUGAGUUUUCUGUCUACUUAUUUAAGUGUGGGGCUUGCACUAGUACAAUUGUGGUCUGUGGGUCAUUUUGUGUUGCUACUGAUAAACUUCAUCUACCUGUUAGCAUUGUAGGGAAAGAAUUAGAGUUGGGUUCCUAUUGUUGGGUUUUGUAUGGCUGCUGCCACCUAGUGUACCAAGUGGUUCCCAAGUGUUUUAUUUUCCUUAUUAGCUAGCUUCUUGUCUCUAAUGUAACUUUGUAAUGGUUCUCUUUGUAAUGGAAUUUGUGCUGAGAUUUUUUGAUACACUAGCACAGGUUACCGUUGUUUGUCAUGUUAAAAGUGCAUUUUUGCAAUAUCAACCGUCAUGGUGAUGUUUUCAGAAGAUGAAGUGUUGGUGAAAGAGAAGGUUAAGGAGCCUACUAAUCGGAGACAAUGUUCCACUUAGAGUGAUCCAAGACACUCUUCAAUUACUUGGGAAUGCAACAAUUCCUUGCAUCACCCUUUUGCUUGGUGGUAACUCACUCAAGGUCUGAUCCACUGUUGAUGAGAUAAAAUAGGUGAUCAAAGCAAGUUCUAGUACAAGAAAAGAGAGCACCAAAGCUGGAGAUUUUUAUGCUGAAGAGUUAGAACUGGUUAAGAAGGAAAAUGAAGAAGGUGAAGAAGUUUUUGAUCAGUGAAGGUUGCAAGAUUUGUUCAAAUGUUGCAGAAGUUGAUAUCACUGGGCGGACAAAGUCUAGCAAAGCUUUGGUGGGGAAAGAUUCUUGAGAGGAUGUCAUUGAGUGUUCUACCUCUUUUGCUGAUACAGUUUAUUUAUUGUUGGGAUCUCAAAAUUGUUGAAUUUAUUUUGGUGCACAAUUUUAGUUUGUUUGAUUUCAGCACAGUUAUAUAGAUUGGGUAUCAAUAUUA
Lotus japonicus is the source of this 1149-nucleotide long non-coding RNA. RefSeq lists it as uncharacterized. NCBI's taxonomy places the organism in Eukaryota, Viridiplantae, Streptophyta, Magnoliopsida, Fabales, Fabaceae. The record is from RefSeq and is a predicted model, not a curated record. The transcript is spliced from 4 exons.